AAGUUUAUGUGUCUAGGAAAUGGUCAAGUUUCAAAAUUCCAAUGUGGCCCUGGGCAGGUGACUUAACUUCUCUUUACCCAUGACUUCCUCAUCUCUAAAGAGGAGAAAAUGGUACCUAACCCCCCCCACCCCUGCCCCCAGGACUGUUGCCCGCUGUGGAUGCGCUAAAGUAUUUAAAGCGCAUGGGGAAAUGUUUGGCCAGUGGCAAACCCUUGGAAAAUGUUCAGACAAGAUCAUUUUUGUGGUCAUUACUAUUAUGGUUGUCAACAUUAGUACGAGUGCUGUCUUUCCACCCUGCAGCCCCGCCUAAUCCAAGUGCAGUCAGUGCUGCAUCAGGAAGACGGAAGGCUGAGGAUGUCCCCGGAGAUGGUGGCAUCCUUUUGACUCUCAAACAUAAAAAGGAUUCAUAAGGGAAAAGAGUUUGCUGGACUUUGAAAGAAGGGUAGGAUUUUUUUUUUUUUUUGUCUUUUUAGGGCCGCACCCGUGGCAUACAGAGGUUCCCAGGCUAGGGGUCCAAUCAGAGCUGCAGCCACCGGCCUACACCAGAGCCACAGCCACACCAGAUCCGAGCCGCAUCUGUGACCUACACCACAGCUCACAGCAGCGCCGGAUCCUUAACCCACUAAGCGAGGCCAGGGAUCGAACCCACAACCUCAUAGUUCCUAGUCGGAUUCACUAACCAUGGAGCCACGACAGGAACUCCAAGGGUAGGAUUUUAACAGGCAGAGAGAGGAAUGAGGCUGGAUGAAGAAGCGAUUCCAGGGACGGGGAUGAACUUGGAAAAAGGCACUGAGAGAGGAUAUGGCAGGAGUGUCGUGGGAUAGUGAACGGGAUGCAUGAGACAGGUGAGUGGGAGACAAAGCAGGACUGGAGGGGACACUGAGCUAAUUUAAGGAGGUUGGCCUUUUACCUGAAGGCAAUGGGGAGCCCUGGAGGGUUUUGAUCAGCGCUGCGCCAGAGGAAGAUUGCCAUGGCAACAGCUCUGGGGAAGGAAGGGCGGGAGGGAGGCCAGCUCGGUAACUACUGCCAUGGUUAAGGGAAGAGGUAAUGAGGAUCCGGAUUAGAGCGACGGCUUGGGGACAGGCUAGGAGGGAACCGAUUCGGGGCAGAACGUGGAAGGGACUUAAAGGAUCACAGCGUCCUCGUGUGCAGAGUGUGCGGAGAGAAGGCAGGUGGAGGAGGGAAGCUGGAGGGCUUAAGCCCACUGUCUGAAGUGCAGGCUCCAAAUAACUUAAGACUUAUAGCAUUUGAGGCCAUCUGCCUGCUGUGACAAAUGACUGAAUUAUUUCUUGGUGCGUUUUCUAGCUGGUUCUGCUUAGACUUUGAGCGAUUGGUUUGUUCACUCGCUGGUUCAUUUAUUAAGCCACAUGCUCAGAGUUUCUGUUUAGCGAGCUCAGUCAAGAGAUCCAAGGUGCUUUAGACAACCAUGAGCCAGGGAGAGGGAAGGCAUCUGGAAGAAGAGAGUCCUGCUAGAAACGGGACAUCUGUGUUCCCGCCAAAUUCAUAUGUGGAAAUCGAUUCCCCCAACGUGAUGGCAUUAGGGGUAGGGCCUUGGGGAGGUGAUUGCGUCGUGAGAGUGGCGCCCUUAAGAAUGGGAUUAGAGCCUUUAUGAAAGAGACCCCAGGGAGUUCCCCUGCCCCCUUUCCUCCCCUCCACGUGAUGACACAGCGAGAAGGCACCGUCUAAGAACCCGGAAGCAGAACCUCACCCGACUCAGAAUCUGCUGAUGCCUUGUCUCCAACUCCCCAGUCUCCAGAACUGUAAGAAAUAAAUGUCUGUUGUUUAUAAACAAUCCCUCAGACUAUAGGAUGCUUUUUGUGGCAGCCCAAAUGGACCAAGACAGGCCCCCAAAGUGGUGGCUUGAACGGGCCACCAUUAAUUUAUCUUUCAUAGGCAAGUUUAGAGUCAGUUCAGAGACGGCGUGAGGGCCUGAUGGCAAAGGGAAAUUAGAAACCAGCCUUCGAACCCACCUGUCCUGCCACCCUCAACACACGUAGCUUCCCUCUCGGGAUCCAGGAUGGCUGCUCCAGCGGCCGCUGUUCUGUCUACACUCAAGCAAGGAAAGGGGAUCAAGCCAAGAAAGUGAACUCAUUGCUGCUGUUCACAUCCCACAGCUGGAACGUUUUCCCAUGGCCACAGAACUGCAAGGGAGGCCAACAAAUGUACCCUCGCGUCGGGUGACCUCGGAACGCUGUACGAAACCUACCCCCAUGGAAGAAGGGGAGGCUGGCAAACAAAUACAGUCUCUGCUCCAAUUCCCAGUACCUGCUAAAUGCAGGAAAUUUAGAAGGGGCUUCAUCAAUCUGUAUUGUGAGUUAAUGAAAACAUCACGAGAGGUUCUGGGGACACCAAGAUGCAAUAAUAUACUUUCUGUUGGGAAGCCGCUUUUACCGGGGGCUAGACAAGUAAAGAAAUAAAGACAGCGAAUUGCUCUAUGGAGUGGGACGGCAGCCUGUGUGGGGCUCAGUUUAAAAACAGUCACAAAGGAGAAAGGCAGCGCAUCCACCUGGGGCGCGAGAGAGGUCAGGAAAGACUUGGCCGAGAAGGUGAUGCACUGCUGAGCGUGGAAAGAUGAGUCGACGCUGUCUGGGGAGCCAGGUGGGGAAGGCUAUUCAAGGACGAAAGAGCACUGGCCAAGAGAGGAGGGUUGAGACAUAACUCGACACAUUCGGAGGAGGGCAAGGAGGGUGGGAGAGGAAUGGCAAGAGAAGGGGCUGGGGCGGGUGGGCGGGGGGCCAGGUCUGGGGACCCUAGGUUUUCUCCCAUAGGAAAUGAUGGCCCACUGAACAGUUUCAAGCACUUGUGUUUAAGGGGUCAGGGGUGUGUGGAUACAAAGACAUUUGAAUUUUUGGGACACGGCUUUGGGCGCCCUUGGUGAGGGAUGGGUUAACAGUGAGGCUGGUAGCAGGAAGAAAAAUUACUGCCGAAGCUUUGUUUUUCUUGGUAAAGCCCUCAAGUCUGGUGCAAUGUAUAACUUUCAAUAGCCGAGUAUACCUUAUAAAUACCUCCCAUCAAACCAGAAAUAUUUUAUUUGAAAUCAAAGUUGCAGUUGACUGUUUUAAGACCAAGGCUAACUGACAUAUAUAUAUAUUUUGGUCAUCAGUUUUAUUUCUCGUGCCCAAAUUUCCUCUGUCUGUGUUGGCCUCUCCUGCUGAAGACUGAAAAGAUAAUGACGAUAUUUAGAGAAGACUAAAUAUCAAGAGACUCGUGGGACAGGUCUCUUGCCUUCUGAACAUCCGCUGAACGAUGAGCAGGGCUGGAAGGGAUGAGCUGAAACAGUCUGCUCUGUAGGAAGAGUUGAAACCAUGGAAAGGAGAGGUAUUCUGCGACAGGAAAGGUUGACUGAAGAGGAAACUGGCAUGAGGGAACUUUCAUAGCUCCCCAAGGCCGCUCAGCCAUAAAGCGCCAAGGUUGCGAUGAAGCCUAGGUCUUCAAACACUGCACCCUGGGCUGUCACUGCCUUCCUAUGAAGCACCCGAAUUUUAGCAUCAAUGAUGUAUUCACACCACCUGGGAAAACUUUAUCUCUUCAUCAGGAAGAACUUUCCAAUUAUGGGGGCACCUCUUUGUGAGAUUUGGAGAAAAAUCUGGGAACUCUGCACUAAGUGGUGAGUGUGUUAGUUAUUUAGCAACGGGAUUCCGUGGAAGGAGACUUACUGGAAAUAUUCAAGGAGAGACCAAGGGCGUGGCUACGGAUUGAACCGGAUUCACAUUUUAUAGGCUAGGUUCCUGAUGGCCUAGAGGAAUGGGAAAUCACUGCAGGGGGCUCAUGUUAUGAGCCGAAUUGUGUCCCCCCAACUUCACAGGCUGGCACCUCAAUCUCCAGUACCUGAGAUGUGACCAUGUAAAGAUACAGGAGGAAGGAAGGUCACCUGUAAGCCCCAGAGAGUGGCAUCAGAAGAAACCAGCCCUGCCAACAACUUGAUCUUGGACGUCCCCUUUCCAAGACUGUGAAAAAAAUACAUUUCUGUUCUUUAAGCCAGCCAGCCGGUGGCAUUUCGUUUUGGCAUUGCUAGCAAACUAAUAGUUUGCCAUCAGCAUUUUAUAGACCAGCAACUAUCAGAACACAGUCAGGACAGCAUUGUUUCAGGAACUGUUCAUUCGAGUGGAUGAUGUGUUACACGGAUUGGAUUGUGAUAUAAAUGUGGGCCCUGUCACCAAAGGUGGAGCAACCCUGGACUUGACAUCCCAAAGUGCUCUUCUAAUUUUGAUGAUCGAACUAAUUGUUAAUAUUAUAAUUAAUAUGUGAAUAGUCAGAGUAUAUCAGUUAAUAUGUAUUAAUUGCCUCUGAGUGCCAAAGGUUUACAAGUAUUAACUCCCUUACUCCUGAAACAUCCCUUCAAGGCAAUUAUUAUUCCUAUUUUACAGAUGAAGUUGAGACUAGUUAUUUAAUGUGUCCAGGGUCAAAUACUUAGCAUUUUUUCAGAGAAAGGAUUCCUGCCCAGAGCAGCCUGUCUUAAAAGGCUACAUUCUCCCUAUUCAGCAUCAUUAUGGGAGCUUCCCAUAAUCCUCCAGCCUGUUCCUUAGCACCCAAGCACCAGCGUCCCCUCGGCAAAGCAUUCAGUGAUGGAAAUUAGGAAGACCUUGGACUUAAUAGGCUCCGUGCCUGUGACUGACAAAGAGCACAAUGGACCUUUUAUGAUGGCAGUAAGGACAGGAUGCGAUUCUUCUCUUGGCAUAGAGCUUUCUGCUCUGUCCACCAAGUACCCAGGUCAGAAAUCGAACUGACGCUACAGCAGUAACCAGAGCCACAGCAGUGACAGCACCAGAUCCUUAACCCACUAAUCCACCAGGGAACUCCACUGGGAACUCUUUUUGCCAAGUAUCUCUUGCUGCCAGCCCCACUCCUCUCCAGGAUCUGCACUGUUUUCCUUCUGGACUUCAACGGGCUCUACCAAGUCUCGCAACUGCUCUCAUAGAAUUAAUUCCUCCCGCGCCCAACGUCUUCUCCACGGAAUCAUCAGAAUUCCCUUUCUGCAACCACCUGGGAUCAUAUCAGUCUAUGUUCAAAGCACCUGGUGGUCCCCAAAUUCAUAAGGCUGGUACCUGGGGGGCCUGUCCCCAUAGCCCUGCUUCAUUUAUGCUCGCCCCACCCAUCUGAGCUUCUUGCCCUGGAAAUUCCACACUGUUCCUUGACUCCAAGCCUUGGCAUAUGCUAAGCCUUCUGCCUGGCACAGAAUUCUCAAUAGAGAGUAAUGCAUGAAAGAGGCAAUCAGAAAUGCUCCCUGGAAAGAUGAAUGAAUGAAUUCAUUAGAUGGAUGAAUGGACUAUUUUACUUAAUAUAAUUACUUACAAGAAAAGGCAAAAAUGACAUGAAGAUACAUGCAAAGUAAAUUUAAAGGUUAAUAUAAGAAUGGCAAAUGCAAGGCAGGAAAAAGAAACACUUUUCCCCACUGAGAACAACCAAAGCUAAGCCCUUUAGUUACUGCCAUCUGGGGCGAAGGUGGGUGCCAUUUGGCUCGGAGCUCACCGUGCCUCAUUAUGCCUGAUUUGCACUGCCUUCCACAGUCCUGGGUCCAGACGCCUUUGAGUAAUGUGCACAGAGCAUCAUAGGCUGCAAAGCUCUAUGGCACCAGGGAUGCCUGAAGGAUGCUCAGACCAUUUUGCAGGUCAGGAAACUGAGGCUGGAUAUGAGUUUAGCAACUAGUUCAAGGUCACUAAGAUCAAAGCCACAGAGCCAGGGCUGGAAUUUGGGUCAGGGGUAUAAAUUCCAUACAUUAAGCUGCCCUCACCUGCUGGGUGACAGGUGCAAGGAUGUCCUUUUGUUGAUCUCAUCUUACUCAUUUCCAGGAAGGUUUGUCACUUGCCAGGGAGCCCUAACAGAGUGGUCUGAAGUUCAGGAAAAAGAAGAAAAGCAAAGGAAGAAGGGAAGAGGGCAGACAGCGGAGGAUUUGCUGCAGUUGGGUUUUCAAGAACAAAAAAUACAUAUAGGGGAGGCAUGGGAUCCUUCCUUCCCAAACAUAUUUCCUUUUGGCUUGAGAUGUUACAAGACUCCAAAUUGGAGCUUGUCUUGUCUCC
This 6017-nucleotide long non-coding RNA is filed under the name Sus scrofa (pig). RNAcentral describes it as "lncRNA (ENSSSCG00060077097.1)". The record is from RNAcentral. Lineage: Eukaryota; Metazoa; Chordata; Mammalia; Artiodactyla; Suidae.